CGUCUUCCACUAUUGUGAUGGGCGUUGCUGCCCUGGCCUUCUGCACCUGGUGAGGAGUCGAUGCGGCAAGCCUGCUUGAGUUGUCGGCCGCGUUCCUCCAGCUAUUAUCCCCUGCACCUUCAUAUCAGCAGCCUUGCCCUCUCGUUGGACGUCCUCUUUGCUUACCAGUCUUUCUCAGCCGAAAGCGCGCGCCGACAGCUGGCUGACUUGGCACCCUUUUCUCCGCCUCCCUGCCUUUGCGGUCACAGGGCCGUCUCGCUGGCCGGCCUCGCUUCCGUCCAGGAGCAGUGCACCCCUGACUGGAGCGACAUGAUUGGUGUGCGCGUGAACGGCUUCUCCACGUGAGUUAUCUCCUGCCUAGACCUGACAAGCCAUCAGCUGUGAACUUGGCCUUGUGUUUUUCGCCUGUUUGCGCUGGCCCUGUAUAGUUGCCGUUCACCAGUACCCUCUUCCCUCCACUCACCAUCGCUCCCUCUGCUGCAUGUGUACUCCUUACAGUGGCCUGGCCUGCUACACCUUCUUCCGCUACUAUUGGUUCAUCGUGAGCCUUGAGUUCGCCCUGAUUGUCGGCGUUGCCGGCGUCCUGGCCACCGGCGCCUACGCCAAGUUCCGCAACUCCUUCCUGGGCCUGAUCUGCGUGGUAAGUCCUGGCAGAUCCUGAGCUACUCCUGAUAACUAAUACAGCGCACAAUCAUCGAGAUUCCCAGUACAAUUCCAACCCAAAUUCCUGACCGCUUUUGCGUCCUCCUUUCCCCCUUUCCUCCCUCCAGGCCACCCUGCUGUACAUCCAGAUGUCCGACGCCACCCUGACCCUGGACUCCCUGACCGCUGAGUCCGGUGGCCAGCUCAAGAACCGCGUGCGCACCUGGAUCGCCGGCUCCAUCAUGACCGCCGCCGUCAACUGCUUCCUGAUCAUCGCCCUGGGCAUGACCGAGGCCCAGGUGGAGGCUAUCUCCGGCGAGAAGGCCACCGCUGUUUAAUGCGCCUGGUGCGUAGUGUUACGCGAGUGUGAGCAGCUGACCUGAUGAGCGUGACCCACUUUGCCGCUGCCAUUGUGCGGUGGCCUGACCUGACUGAGUGACAUCUAAAUUUGGGCUGUUUCUUAUUGCGCAUCCGCGAAUGACCUCUCGGACCAACUGACGGAAAAUAACGAGCGUGGUGGACAUCCUCCUGCGACACGAGCGUUGCGUGGCCACUUAACGUAGCGUGCGUGUCGAAGACGUUUAUACCCGGGGCUGAUGGAGGUCAUGCGGUGGCCCCAGGGCGGGAAGUACAUACGUGCUAGAUUGCUAUGUGCUAGCAAUUCAUGCUGAAUAAAUGAGGGAUUGAGGCGGUGGGCUGGCUAGUGGCCACACUACAGGAGUGUGCGCGCACGAGACGCGGCAAGCGGCAA
This 1393-nucleotide long non-coding RNA is filed under the name Chlamydomonas reinhardtii. RNAcentral describes it as "long non-coding RNA (CREI_LNC001082)". Lineage: Eukaryota; Viridiplantae; Chlorophyta; Chlorophyceae; Chlamydomonadales; Chlamydomonadaceae. The record is from RNAcentral.